This 460-nucleotide ribosomal RNA is filed under the name uncultured bacterium. RNAcentral's name for it is "partial 16S ribosomal RNA". It matches the Rfam family "Bacterial small subunit ribosomal RNA", at positions 338 to 795 of the family's 1533-position model. The record is from RNAcentral.
CCUACGGGUGGCAGCAGUGAGGAAUAUUGGUCAAUGGCCGUAAGGCUGAACCAGCCAAGUAGCGUGAGGGAAGACUGCCCUAUGGGUUGUAAACCUCUUUUAUGCGGGGAUAAAGGUGUCCACGUGUGGAUGUUUGCAGGUACCGCAUGAAUAAGGACCGGCUAAUUCCGUGCCAGCAGCCGCGGUAAUACGGAAGGUCCGGGCGUUAUCCGGAUUUAUUGGGUUUAAAGGGAGCGUAGGCAGGUCUUUAAGCGUGCCGUGAAAUUUUGUGGCUCAACCAUGGGAGUGCGGCGCGAACUGGGGGCCUUGAGUGCGCGGAAGGCAGGCGGAAUUCGUGGUGUAGCGGUGAAAUGCUUAGAUAUCACGAAGAACCCCGAUUGCGAAGGCAGCCUGCCGCAGCGUUACUGACGCUGAAGCUCGAAAGCGCGGGUAGCGAACAGGAUUAGAUACCCGUGUAGUC